Molecule: ribosomal RNA, 1382 nt
Filed under: uncultured bacterium
Lineage: Bacteria
Description: 16S ribosomal RNA
Rfam family: Bacterial small subunit ribosomal RNA
Source: RNAcentral
UUCGCCCUUAGAGUUUGAUCCUGGCUCAGGACGAACGCUGGCGGCACGCUUAACACAUGCAAGUCGAACGAGAGAAGAGAAGCUUGCUUUUCUGAUCUAGUGGCGGACGGGUGAGUAACACGUGAGCAAUCUGCCUUUCAGAGGGGGAUACCGAUUGGAAACGAUCGUUAAUACCGCAUAAUAUAAUUGAACCGCAUGAUUUGAUUAUCAAAGAUUUAUCGCUGAAAGAUGAGCUCGCGUCUGAUUAGCUAGUUGGUAAGGUAACGGCUUACCAAGGCGACGAUCAGUAGCCGGACUGAGAGGUUGAUCGGCCACAUUGGGACUGAGACACGGCCCAGACUCCUACGGGAGGCAGCAGUGGGGAAUAUUGCACAAUGGAGGAAACUCUGAUGCAGCGAUGCCGCGUGAGGGAAGAAGGUUUUAGGAUUGUAAACCUCUGUCUUCAGGGACGAAAAAAGACGGUACCUGAGGAGGAAGCUCCGGCUAACUACGUGCCAGCAGCCGCGGUAAUACGUAGGGAGCGAGCGUUGUCCGGAAUUACUGGGUGUAAAGGGAGCGUAGGCGGGAUCGCAAGUCAGAUGUGAAAACUAUGGGCUUAACCCAUAAACUGCAUUUGAAACUGUGGUUCUUGAGUGAAGUAGAGGUAAGCGGAAUUCCUAGUGUAGCGGUGAAAUGCGUAGAUAUUAGGAGGAACAUCAGUGGCGAAGGCGGCUUACUGGGCUUUAACUGACGCUGAGGCUCGAAAGCGUGGGGAGCAAACAGGAUUAGAUACCCUGGUAGUCCACGCCGUAAACGAUAAUUACUAGAUAUGGGGGGAGGGACCCCUUCGGUGCCGCAGCAAACGCAAUAAGUAUUCCACGUGGGGGAGUACGACGGCAAAGGUGGAAAAUCAAAGGAAUUGACGGGGGCCCGCACAAGCAGGGGAGUAUGUGGAUUAAUUCGAAGCAACGCGAAGAACCUUACCAGGUCUUGACAUCGUAUGCAUAGCUCAGAGAUGAGUGAAAUCUCUUCGGAGACAUAUAGACAGGUGGUGCAUGGUUGUGGUCAGCUCGGUCGGUGAGAUGUUGGGUUAAGUCCCGCAACGAGCGCAACCCUUACUGUUAGUUGCUACGCAAGAGCACUCUAGCAGGACUGCCGUUGACAAAACGGAGGAAGGUGGGGAUGACGUCAAAUCAUCAUGCCCCUUAUGACCUGGGCCUCACACGUACUACAAUGGCUGUUAACAGAGGGAUGCGAAGCCGCGAGGUGGAGCGAACCCCUAAAAGCAGUCUUAGUUCGGAUUGUAGGCUGCAACCCGCCUACAUGAAGUCGGAAUUGCUAGUAAUCGCAGAUCAGCAUGCUGCGGUGAAUACGUUCCCGGGCCUUGCACACACCGCCCGUCA